This 65-nucleotide transfer RNA is filed under the name Phlaeoba antennata. Its description in RNAcentral is "tRNA-Leu". RNAcentral also lists the same sequence under 1 other name. The record is from RNAcentral. Lineage: Eukaryota; Metazoa; Arthropoda; Insecta; Orthoptera; Acrididae.
ACUAUUUUGACAGAUUAAUGUGAUGAAUUUAGAAUUCAUUUAUGUGGAUUUUUCUACAGAUAGUA